UUUUAAAUCACAGCAUUAUCAUUCAGUAUCAUUCGUUGUACAGGCAUGAAUGUUCUUUCUCCCUUUCUUCCAGGUCCUGAUGGGUCCCUGAGAGCCUCUCUGGCAAUAUACCACGAUGCAGUCACAGGCCUCAUAAGGCCUAACGCUCACAGCCACAUGCUGCUAAACAGUGGCCACACCAUGGCAGUGCCACCCAACUUCUUUCUUCACCCACAAACUGGCAGAGUAAUGCCAAUCAUUGGAAACGUCGCCUAUGAUCCAGCCAGCUCUACAUUAGUGGCUACAACUGAUCUCUGCAGAGGCGACAACAGAAAGUGGGAGAGUCCUCUUCUACCUUUUAUUCCUUACCCAACAUCCUGCCAUUCAGAUCGGCCCCUUCCCAGCACUCCGAUUAAACCCCUCAGGCUGGGCCAGAGGUUACAUUUAGGCAUGACCAUGGCAGACCCUGACACUGGGGUUCCAGUGCCUACUUUGGCUAUGACCAUUCACCCACAAACUGGAUCAGUAUACCCACUGGGAAGGCUGCAUGUCUGCCCACUCACUCGCAUGCCACAACCCAUUCAGAUAGGCUAUCCCAUGCUGGACUCCAGGACUGGGAACAUUGUACUUACUGUUGGGGUGACUUUGGAUUCAGUAACAGGUGAGUCCUGCUUGGAAAAGGCAACCUUCGUGUACCACACCUUCACCCUGCUAGGUGUGGUUUGUGUGUUUGUGCAGGAGAUGUGCUGCCAGUAGGUGGAGUGAUGCUGGCUGAGUCCUUCUCUGAACCUCUGAGUGGGCGGAUGGUGAGAGUCGGGGGGGCCAGCAUGAGAGCUGGACAUGUGGUGCCGACCACAGGAGGAUACCAAAAUCUCCUGGAUACCAAGGUACUUCCUAAUUUUAAGAAAGAAUCACAUAAUCAAAGAUUUUUGUUUGCAUCCUUUCUCAUUGCAGUCUUCUC
This 940-nucleotide long non-coding RNA is filed under the name Oryzias sinensis (Chinese medaka). Its description in RNAcentral is "lncRNA (ENSOSIG00000018497.1)". The record is from RNAcentral. Lineage: Eukaryota; Metazoa; Chordata; Actinopteri; Beloniformes; Adrianichthyidae.